GUGUCAGCAGCCGCGGUAAUACGGAGGGUGCAAGCGUUAUCCGGAUUCAUUGGGUUUAAAGGGUGCGUAGGCUGGGCGGUAAGUCAGUGGUGAAAUCCUGCAGCUUAACUGUAGAAUUGCCAUUGAUACUGCCGUCCUUGAGUGCGCUCGACGUGGGCGGAAUGUGCCGUGUAGCGGUGAAAUGCUUAGAUAUGGCACAGAACACCGAUAGUGAAGACAGCUCACGAGGGCGUUACUGACGCUGAGGCACGAAAGCGUGGGGAUCGAACAGGAUUAGAUACCCUUGUAGUCC
RNAcentral lists this ribosomal RNA (292 nucleotides) under uncultured bacterium. Its description in RNAcentral is "partial 16S ribosomal RNA". It matches the Rfam family "Bacterial small subunit ribosomal RNA", at positions 505 to 796 of the family's 1533-position model. The record is from RNAcentral.